CCCGUAUUAGGUGAAGUCAAUGAUCCCAUGCUGCCAAGAAAAGCCUCUAGCGAGCUUCGAGCGGCCCGUACCCCAAACCGACACAGGUGGUCAGGUAGAGAAUACCGAGGCGAUCGGGCGAACUGUGGUUAAGGAACUCGGCAAAUUACCCCCGUAACUUCGGGAGAAGGGGGGCCACAGACUGUCAUACCCCACGCGGGUGGCAGCAGUAGGUGGCCGCAGAGACCAGGGGGAAGCGACUGUUUACUAAAAACACAGGUCCGUGCGAAGUCGUAAGACGAUGUAUACGGACUGACGCCUGCCCGGUGCUGGAACGUUAAGGGGACCGGUUAGUCCGCAAGGGCGAAGCUGAGAACUUAAGCGCCAGUAAACGGCGGUGGUAACUAUAACCAUCCUAAGGUAGCGAAAUUCCUUGUCGGGUAAGUUCCGACCUGCACGAAUGGCGUAACGACUUCCCUACUGUCUCAACCACAGGCCCGGCGAAAUUGCACUACGAGUAAAGAUGCUCGUUACGCGCGGAAGGACGGAAAGACCCCGGGACCUUCACUAUAGCUUGACAUUGGUAUCCGAAUUUAAUUGUGUAGGAUAGGUGGGAGGCUUUGAUCCGCGGACGCCAGUCCGUCGGGGAGCCAACGUUGAAAUACCACUCUGUUGACUUUGGGUAUCUAACUUCGGACCGUGAUCCGGUUCAGGGACAGUGUCUGGUGGGUAGUUUAACUGGGGCGGUUGCCUCCUAAAAUGUAACGGAGGCGCCCAAAGGUUCCCUCAGCCUGGUUGGCAAUCAGGUGUUGAGUGCAAGUGCACAAGGGAGCUUGACUGUGAGACUGACAGGUCGAGCAGGGACGAAAGUCGGGACUAGUGAUCCGGCACCUGCGAAUGGAAGCGGUGUCGCUCAACGGAUAAAAGGUACCCCGGGGAUAACAGGCUGAUCUUCCCCAAGAGUCCAUAUCGACGGGAUGGUUUGGCACCUCGAUGUCGGCUCGUCGCAUCCUGGGGCUGGAGUAGGUCCCAAGGGUUGGGCUGUUCGCCCAUUAAAGCGGCACGCGAGCUGGGUUUAGAACGUCGUGAGACAGUUCGGUCCCUAUCCUCCGCGCGCGUAGGAGACUUGAGAAGAGCUGUCCCUAGUACGAGAGGACCGGGACGGACGAACCUCUGGUGUGCCAGUUGUCAUGCCAAUGGCACGGCUGGUUAGCUACGUUCGGAAGGGAUAACCGCUGAAAGCAUCUAAGCGGGAAGCUCGCUUCAAGAUGAGGUCUCCCACCCCUUAGAGGGUUAAGGCCCCCAGCUAGACCACUGGGUUGAUAGGCCAGAAGUGUAAGCCUGGUAACAGGUUCAGCCGACUGGUACUAAUAGGCCGAGGACUUC
RNAcentral lists this ribosomal RNA (1365 nucleotides) under metagenome. Its description in RNAcentral is "bacterial LSU rRNA". It matches the Rfam family "Bacterial large subunit ribosomal RNA", at positions 1575 to 2925 of the family's 2925-position model. The record is from RNAcentral.